RNAcentral lists this ribosomal RNA (238 nucleotides) under uncultured bacterium. RNAcentral's name for it is "partial 16S ribosomal RNA". It matches the Rfam family "Bacterial small subunit ribosomal RNA", at positions 796 to 1041 of the family's 1533-position model. The record is from RNAcentral.
CACGCCGUAAACGAUGGAUACUAGCUGUUGGGAGCGAUCUCAGUGGCUAAGCGAAAGUGAUAAGUAUCCCACCUGGGGAGUACGUUCGCAAGAAUGAAACUCAAAGGAAUUGACGGGGGCCCGCACAAGCGGUGGAGCAUGUGGUUUAAUUCGAUGAUACGCGAGGAACCUUACCAAGGCUUAAAUGUAGAUUGACCGGUUUGGAAACAGACUUUUCGCAAGACAAUUUACAAGGUGC